This 253-nucleotide ribosomal RNA is filed under the name uncultured bacterium. RNAcentral describes it as "partial 16S ribosomal RNA". It matches the Rfam family "Bacterial small subunit ribosomal RNA", at positions 524 to 776 of the family's 1533-position model. The record is from RNAcentral.
UACGGGGGGGGCAAGCGUUGUUCGGAAUUACUGGGCGUAAAGGGCUCGUAGGCGGCCAACUAAGUCAGACGUGAAAUCCCCAGGCUCAACCUGGGAACUGCGUCUGAUACUGGAUGGCUUGAAUCCGGGAGAGGGAUGCAGAAUUCCUGGUGUAGCGGUGGAAUGCGCAGAUAUCAGGAGGAACACCGAUGGCGAAGGCAGAUCUCUGGGCCGUAACUGACGCUGAGGAGCGAAAGCGUGGGGAGCGAACAGG